RNAcentral lists this ribosomal RNA (564 nucleotides) under Salmonella enterica subsp. enterica serovar Infantis. RNAcentral describes it as "partial 23S ribosomal RNA". It matches the Rfam family "Bacterial large subunit ribosomal RNA", at positions 711 to 1251 of the family's 2925-position model. The record is from RNAcentral. RNAcentral also lists the same sequence under 2 other names. Lineage: Bacteria; Pseudomonadati; Pseudomonadota; Gammaproteobacteria; Enterobacterales; Enterobacteriaceae.
AGACCCGAAACCCGGUGAUCUAGCCAUGGGCAGGUUGAAGGUUGGGUAACACUAACUGGAGGACCGAACCGACUAAUGUUGAAAAAUUAGCGGAUGACCUGUGGCUGGGGGUGAAAGGCCAAUCAAACCGGGAGAUAGCUGGUUCUCCCCGAAAGCUAUUUAGGUAGCGCCUCGUGAAUUCAUCUCCGGGGGUAGAGCACUGUUUCGGCUAGGGGGCCAUCCCGGCUUACCAACCCGAUGCAAACUGCGAAUACCGGAGAAUGUUAUCACGGGAGACACACGGCGGGUGCUAACGUCCGUCGUGAAGAGGGAAACAACCCAGACCGCCAGCUAAGGUCCCAAAGUCAUGGUUAAGUGGGAAACGAUGUGGGAAGGCCCAGACAGCCAGGAUGUUGGCUUAGAAGCAGCCAUCAUUUAAAGAAAGCGUAAUAGCUCACUGGUCGAGUCGGCCUGCGCGGAAGAUGUAACGGGGCUAAACCAUGCACCGAAGCUGCGGCAGCGAACGUAUCACUUAAAGCGAUUCAGCGGGUUACGAUUGACGGAGCGAAGCGACGUCAAAGCGUA